UUUUGGUUGUUCAAUACGCCCUAGAAAGCAACUGCGAAAUCGCUUAAUUUGUUGCCGAGGUGAAAAUACAAAAGUUAAUUUAUUCAAUGAAUUUUCUAUAAAUUUUUAGUGCGUAUU
Firmicutes bacterium CAG:631 is the source of this 117-nucleotide regulatory RNA element. It matches the Rfam family "Ribosomal protein L10 leader". Rfam says of the family: This family is a putative r-protein leader autoregulatory structure found in B. subtilis and other low-GC Gram-positive bacteria. It is located in the 5' untranslated regions of mRNAs encoding ribosomal proteins L10 and L12 (rplJ-rplL). The record is from Rfam. Lineage: Bacteria; Bacillati; Bacillota.